This is a long non-coding RNA of Oreochromis aureus, 2138 nucleotides long. The record is from Ensembl. Lineage: Eukaryota; Metazoa; Chordata; Actinopteri; Cichliformes; Cichlidae.
GCUUAAUAAAUUUAUUAGAUUUGCCAUAAAAAUGAAGAAAACAUAAGAGGUUGUUUAAAAUUAAUAAUAUAUUAUCAUGUGUUAGGUAAGUAAUAAACCGAAUUGCAUUACUUACAAAAGUAAGUGACAAAAUUAAGUAAGUUUCUAUACCCAGAUUUUAGCCAGAGAAGUCAUAAAUGAAUGAAACAUAACAUUCAACCACUAAAACUAAUUUUUCUGUUGUAUUUACAGGGAUGGCAGUAAAUAAAUGUAAUUUUGCAUCUUAAAAAAUAAUAUCAUGCAUUAGUAUUUUUUACAGUAAAUUAAUUGAUAAUGACAUUAAUUAUGUUUCACCAUUAAAAUAUUUCAAUUUCAGAGGUUGAGCAUAUUAGUAACUCAUCCUUUCUGGUAAUAACCAGUAUUCUUAAUUUAGGCCCUACAUUGGAUAUAAAAAAUUUGUUAAGCACUGUACAUUCACCUUUGCUUAAGUGCAUUUGCAGGAGACUUCUCAAAACCUGCUCAACUAACGAUAAAAGGUUUUGAUGAAUAGAUACCAGUAGAAAUAUACAGGAAAACUUGAGUGACUCUGUCUUUUAAGAGGAACUCCUUUCUCAAUGUGACUGCUGCAAAGCAAGUGAAAUAUGCUGACCGCCAAAACUGGAAAGUGAUCACAUAAAAAUCAUGUUGCAAUAACAUGUAUUCGAACACUUUGAGCUCUGCCAGUUGACCUUUUUUAACAGUCUGUCUGAAAUAGCAGUGGGAAGUUCACAGGAUCAGAUGUUCCAGGACUCAGUCCAGUCACAGGGUUAUUCGAGGAUCAUUCCUCAUUCAAGAUGGGAAUGCAAAGCAAAAUAUCACACAAGAAAAGAAAGGCAAUCCAUAUUUGUACCAAUCUCAUAAUUUAUUUAAAUAUAUUUCAUUUUUAAAUAUAGCUAUGGUAUAUAUAUAUUUAUAUAUAUAUAUGUAGGACACCCCUUUGGGAAACGCCAGUCAUGUUAAUUUAUGGUACACAGGUGACUUCUUUUUAUGUUUCGCUUUACAGCGUGAAGAUAUUGCUCCUGCUUUUAAAGAUGGCCUACAUUAUGUACAAUGUUACCUUUUGAUGACUCAAAUACAUAAAUAUACUCUGUACUGCACUCUACCAAAAUCCAACAACCACUUGUUUUGUUUUAUUUUUUUUUUAUCUUUUUCACAAAGAUGCAAAGAAAAAUUCAUGCAAUUAAUAAUUUAAUCACAGUUCUUUCUCAGUAUGAGCACAAGUGGCUGAAACUAUGCACUGACUGCCAGCUGGAGGUCUGUGAAAACUUGUCUGUGUAGAAGGUAGUACAGGCAGGGUUGAGCAUAUUUGGAUUUCGCUCUUUUCUUGAGCAAAAUAAAUGAAGAAAAAUAUGUUUUUGUUUUGUUUUAGCAACAUCUUUUUUGGAUCCCAGCAUGAAGAGGCCCCAGGUUGGUGUGUCUCAGCCGCUUGUUUCUUUAUCUUCUCCACUCUUCAGUUUCACUGUCUUUAUCCUGGUCUGGGUUUUGUUGCCUGGGUUGCUCCCCCAUGUGGUGACAGCUAACCAUCAAGGCCCAGCCUGAGUGGUGGGUGGCACCCAUCCACGCCUUAGCAGAAGGAGACCUCAGUGAAUGACAAUACUGUGCCUAGUGUCAGUCGGGGCUGGUCAGAUUUAGGCUUCCUUACUGUCCAAGGCACUUUUUUCCCAAGUUUUUUUUUCUUCUGAAGGACUCGUGUGUGACUUUGACCUGUAACAAAGAAGACAUGAUAUUAAGGACCAACUUGAAAACACCUGAAAAAUUCUCCCCUCUCCAGAAAGAAUCACAAAUAAUAAGAAAUUUGAUACUUUGCUCUCGCUGUGCCACUGUUAGGGCGUGUAUGUGUGGACACAGCAAGCAUAUCACCACGGAGAACAAACGUCUGAGUAGUGCCUCAAAACAACAUAACCUUUACACUAUAACCAUAACCGGAGAGGUUUUUGACUCUGAAUGACACUGAUAAUUCGUGCAGUGCAAACAUUUAAUUUAUUGUUACUUAAAUAGGAAUCACACAACAUAACAAAUCCACAACAAGGUAAUAUCCAGAAUCUAGUCUUUUACUUAAGCAAAAGUAUUAUUAGCAGUACUGAUGAUUUAGUGUAGUGAGCAUUCAAGUGCAUGAUUAC